GCAUCCAAGUGAGGUUUUGAACAUCACCAGUCUAGUUUCCUCCUGGUAUGUUCAUGCCAGAGUCAACUUCAGCCUGCAACCACGGCCUGGCCUCUAUACCUGUGGGCUGUGAGCCCUGAAGGGGGUUGUACAUUG
Molecule: small nucleolar RNA, 135 nt
Filed under: Bos indicus x Bos taurus (hybrid cattle)
Lineage: Eukaryota; Metazoa; Chordata; Mammalia; Artiodactyla; Bovidae
Description: Small nucleolar RNA SNORA42/SNORA80 family (ENSBIXG00005024389.1)
Source: RNAcentral